RNAcentral lists this ribosomal RNA (429 nucleotides) under Chloroflexota bacterium. RNAcentral describes it as "Chloroflexi bacterium partial 16S ribosomal RNA". It matches the Rfam family "Bacterial small subunit ribosomal RNA", at positions 355 to 776 of the family's 1533-position model. Lineage: Bacteria; Bacillati; Chloroflexota. The record is from RNAcentral.
UGGGGAAUAUUGCACAAUGGGCGCAAGCCUGAUGCAGCCAUGCCGCGUGUGUGAAGAAGGCCUUCGGGUUGUAAAGCACUUUCAGCGGGGAGGAAGGCGGUGAGGUUAAUAACCUCACCGAUUGACGUUACCCGCAGAAGAAGCACCGGCUAACUCCGUGCCAGCAGCCGCGGUAAUACGGAGGGUGCAAGCAUUAAUCGGAAUUACUGGGCGUAAAGCGCACGCAGGCGGUUUGUUAAGUCAGAUGUGAAAUCCCCGGGCUCAACCUGGGAACUGCAUCUUAUACUGGCAAGCUUGAGUCUCGUAGAGGGGGGUAGAAUUCCAGGUGUAGCGGUGAAAUGCGUAGAGAUCUGGAGGAAUACCUGUGGCGAAGGCGGCCCCCUGUACAAAGACUGACGCUCAGGUGCGAAAGCGUGGGGAGCAAACAGG